RNAcentral lists this long non-coding RNA (247 nucleotides) under Linum usitatissimum (flax). RNAcentral describes it as "long non-coding RNA (LUSI_LNC000522)". The record is from RNAcentral. Lineage: Eukaryota; Viridiplantae; Streptophyta; Magnoliopsida; Malpighiales; Linaceae.
CACAUCUUCCUUAAUACCAGUACGGUUGGCUGACACUGUUUCUUCUACAGUAGGAUUUGGGUUGCCAGCAACCUUUCUCCUCCUCCCACUUCUUCUAGUUCCAACUUGGUUCCCGCCAAUACUAGCAUUAGAAUCCACGUUAACAUCCGGAGCAUCCCUUCCCAUAACAGAAUUGCAGUUUCCGAAAUCGUCGGCAGAAACAUUGUCCACUUUCCACACACUUGCAGCUGAUGCAUGACAUGAAUUA